CUCCCUGUGACCCACUAAGAAACAAGCUUCAGAAAUCCAAACGAAUGACACAUACCUUGGCAUGGGGACUGGUGGCAACCAUCACAUGGAUACUUACAGAAUUAAGACUGAAAUAUAGUUGAGAGGAGAUGGUGUGUAACAACACUGUGUUCUGAUUCUAUAAAUACUCUGCAAAUACUCUUGAACUAGUGGGCUAGAAAGUUAAGAGGUUUCUCAUUCCUUCUGAUCCUUUUGUCAGUUAAGGUUUGCAGGCCUACAGGCUUGGGCCAAGAAACAUUUUUGGAUCAAACUGGCAGUCAUUGCCAAAGACAUGGCUGAGGUUGACACAGCCUGCAUCUAUGGGGUAGAGAAGCUGAUGGACAAUACACAACAAAUGAACAAAUAGGUCAGUAUGGAGCUCUCGGCUACUUCUCCAGCACUAUGCCUGUCCUGCCGGCCGCCAUGCUCCCUGCCCUUAUGAUAAUGGACUAAGCCUCUGAAACUGUCCAGAUGACAACUCAUUGAAAUAGAUCUACACAGUAGAAGGGAUUCAAGAAUAAUUUCCUGGAUAUGGUACCAAAAGCCCAGACAACAGCAAGAAUUGACCAAUGAGACUGACUCCAUGAAGCUCGAGCUCCCAAUGACAACAACUGACAGGAAGGAAAGAUGGCCUACAGAAGGAGGGAGAAGAUGCAAGCUAUAAACGUCCAGGAGUUAAUGUCCCAAAUAUCUAAAGAGCCCAUAACCACAUCAACGAAAACAGUCUGAUUUUUAACUGGGCAAACAACUUAAGACAUUUCUCCAAAAAAUAUACAAAUGGCCAAAUAAACACAUGAAAGUUGUUCAACAUUAUUCAUCAUCAGGGAAAUGCAAUAAAAAGUACAGUGAGGUAUCAACUGA
This is a long non-coding RNA of Peromyscus eremicus (cactus mouse), 879 nucleotides long. RefSeq lists it as uncharacterized. The record is from RefSeq and is a predicted model, not a curated record. NCBI's taxonomy places the organism in Eukaryota, Metazoa, Chordata, Mammalia, Rodentia, Cricetidae. The transcript is spliced from 3 exons.